Molecule: ribosomal RNA, 247 nt
Filed under: uncultured bacterium
Lineage: Bacteria
Description: partial 16S ribosomal RNA
Rfam family: Bacterial small subunit ribosomal RNA
Source: RNAcentral
UUUGAUUGGCGAGUGGCGAACGGGUGAGUAAUGCAUCGGAACAUACCUAUUAGUGGGGGAUAGCCCGGCGAAAGCCGGAUUAAUACCGCAUAUGCCUUAGGGUGAAAGCAGGGGACCGCAAGGCCUUGCGCUGGUAGAGUGGCCGAUGUUAGAUUAGGUAGUUGGUGGGGUAAAGGCCUACCAAGCCUGCGAUCUAUAGCUGGUCUGAGAGGACGAUCAGCCACACUGGGACUGAGACACGGCCCAG